Molecule: long non-coding RNA, 100 nt
Organism: Limulus polyphemus (Atlantic horseshoe crab)
Lineage: Eukaryota; Metazoa; Arthropoda; Merostomata; Xiphosura; Limulidae
Exons: 3
Source: RefSeq, a predicted model, not a curated record
GAUCACAACUUACGUUUUUGUUUUCAAUUAUAUAUAAAUUUAUCUGUAUUACAUGCAUUUUACAAAGGUGGGCAAUGCUACAAAAAAUUUUAUAAACAUU